Molecule: long non-coding RNA, 965 nt
Organism: Daphnia carinata
Lineage: Eukaryota; Metazoa; Arthropoda; Branchiopoda; Diplostraca; Daphniidae
Exons: 2
Source: RefSeq, a predicted model, not a curated record
UGCUUCUGUUUGUUUGAGCAACCUUCAACCUAGCUUGUGUGAGCUCAAGAAUAAAGAAAAGUUUAAGAGUCAACACGUUGUUUUUUUUAAACAUGGAAAAUCAGAGAUUUAUCACCCUUUCACUGAAUUUGAAAAGAAAAUUCAUUUCCCUACAAAUUUGUCGAUAAUGUAGGUUUUGAAAAGUUGCAUCAACGAAUUCCUGUUUUCACUUCCGAAAAAACGCAAUCUAAAUAGCCUUCAUCAUCGUGACAUGACACACUACUUGUGUGGACGUCAGAAAUGUGAUUGUGAAUGCAGGAGGGAUCACCGAUCGAAGACGUGCCGUCUCACGUGACAGAAGCCGUGCAAUAAUAUGCGAUGGUGUACGUUUCUCUUGUGAAUUUAAACUACCGAUCGAUGUUUGUUUUUCUUUGAACGAUUCUGGGAUAUAUAAAGACCACCCGAAGGCCAAAGGACAUCACUAUUUUCUAACCGACAGAACUGCAAACGUAAAUCCAACGAAGAAGAAUCAACAUGAAAACAGUGGUUGUAUUGGUAAUUCUAUUGGUGGCAGUUGUUGCCGUCAUUGUUUCCGAAGAACAUUCAGAACAAUUUGCAGUGAAGUUAAUCGCAAACUCAUCAGAUCUUGCCACAGCCGGACAGCGUUUUAGGUACUACAAAGUGCAAUCCGUCAAGCUGACACAGCAAAAAAAAGUACCGAAGAAACCGAGUGGUUAUUCUGGCUAUCAGAGCGGAUACGGUUUUUUCCGCGGUCGCCGUUUCGCCAACAACAACGAGAGCGUGUUUUCUUCCGACUAAUGGCGUUUGAAAGUGUCAUGCUCCCAUUACACGAAAACGAAUAAGAAAACGAGCAAAAAAAAGAAUUGGUUGGUCCGCUUUGAUAUAUAUCAUGUGUCAUUUUUAAUCGAAUGCUUCCUCAUUCAGUUUAUUUUCAUUCGUUUCGAAUAAAUUUCUUGCCAAACACA